This 848-nucleotide long non-coding RNA is filed under the name Danio rerio (zebrafish). RNAcentral's name for it is "lncRNA si:ch211-15o14.2 (ENSDARG00000095282.2)". Lineage: Eukaryota; Metazoa; Chordata; Actinopteri; Cypriniformes; Danionidae. The record is from RNAcentral.
GUCAAAGCAAAUAAACGCGAGAGUAGUGAACAAGCACCAGACUUUGAAUUGGAUUUAAUUUCUAUUUUCUUUUAAAUAUUUUGAGCAUAUUGCAGUUUUACGUCUCUGGUGAACUGCAUCGACUUUUCCGAAACAGAUCGUUUUUACAGCUCUCUUGUCUGAAUGUUUAUUUUCGCUUUGUGUUUAACGUUAACGUACUCACAAAAUAUUCUGUUGCUGGACAGAAAUGCUUUUGGAUACAGAGGCGAUGUUUAUUACGACAGAAUAAGGAUUUGGGUUUUUUAUUCUUCAAUAAAUUAUUGCCCUAAAAAGUUCUGCAAUGGAGUUCACAGAUGAAGAGAAACUCUGGCUGCAAAGAUUAUCUGCUGAAAUACCUGAAGGAAAUGAACUCACUUCAAACGAAAAGCAGUUCUGGGAGAAAGCAAAGCCAGAGACUGAAUUUCUUGGCCAGUAUUUCCAGACAAUGGCCUCUAUACGAUUUGGACUGAAUGAUUUAGGCAGCACAGCCACAGCCAUGAAGAACCCUGUUCAUCAGAGAAGCUGCAUCGCUUCACCAUGUGGAUAAUCGCCAAACACCAAGAGGAGGACAUAUUUUCUUUUAGUUAUCUAACAUAACAUUCAGACUCCAAUAAUAAAAUAUGAAUAAAAAAAAUCAGCAUAUAAUGGUGAAAGCAGAGUAGCUUUUGGCACUUUGUAAUUAAGAUCGGUUUUGAUGAUCAUCUCCAGCAUUCUUACCUCAAUACAAAAAUUUAUUGGUGCCUGUCAGGUUUUGUUUUGUAAAGUAUGUACUACAAGAUGAUGUGACAACAGUGUAAAAUGUGUUUUCUCAGUUAAAGCUUCACUUUAAA